RNAcentral lists this ribosomal RNA (497 nucleotides) under uncultured bacterium. Its description in RNAcentral is "partial 16S ribosomal RNA". It matches the Rfam family "Bacterial small subunit ribosomal RNA", at positions 28 to 507 of the family's 1533-position model. The record is from RNAcentral.
GAUGAACGCUGGCGGCGUGCCUAAUACAUGCAAGUCGAGCGAACGGACGAGAAGCUUGCUUCUCUGAUGUUAGCGGCGGACGGGUGAGUAACACGUGGAUAACCUACCUAUAAGACUGGGAUAACUUCGGGAAACCGGAGCUAAUACCGGAUGAUAUUUUGAACCGCAUGGUUCAAAAGUGAAAGACGGUCUUGCUGUCACUUAUAGAUGUAUCCGCGCUGCAUUAGCUAGUUGGUAAGGUAACGGCUUACCAAGGCAACGAUGCAUAGCCGACCUGAGAGGGUGAUCGGCCACACUGGAACUGAGACACGGUCCAGACUCCUACGGGAGGCAGCAGUAGGGAAUCUUCCGCAAUGGGCGAAAGCCUGACGGAGCAACGCCGCGUGAGUGAUGAAGGCCUUCGGAUCGUAAAACUCUGUUAUUAGGGAAGAACAUAUGUGUAAGUAACUGUGCACAUCUUGACGGUACCUAAUCAGAAAGCCACGGCUAACUACGUG